This 424-nucleotide ribosomal RNA is filed under the name uncultured prokaryote. Its description in RNAcentral is "bacterial SSU rRNA". It matches the Rfam family "Bacterial small subunit ribosomal RNA", at positions 355 to 796 of the family's 1533-position model. The record is from RNAcentral.
UGGGGAAUCUUGGACAAUGGGGGAAACCCUGAUCCAGCCAUGCCGCGUGAGUGACGAAGGCCCUAGGGUCGUAAAGCUCUUUCGCUGGGGAAGAUAAUGACGGUACCCAGUAAAGAAACCCCUGCUAACUCCGUGCCAGCAGCCGCGGUAAUACGGAGGGGGUUAGCGUUGUUCGGAAUUACUGGGCGUAAAGCGCACGUAGGCGGAUUGAAAAGCUAGGGGUGAAAUCCCGGGGCUCAACCCCGGAACUGCCUCUAGAACUAUCAGUCUAGAGUUCGAGAGAGGUGAGUGGAAUUCCGAGUGUAGAGGUGAAAUUCGUAGAUAUUCGGAGGAACACCAGUGGCGAAGGCGGCUCACUGGCUCGAUACUGACGCUGAGGUGCGAAAGUGUGGGGAGCAAACAGGAUUAGAUACCCCCGUAGUCC